ACCAGACUCCUACGGGAGGCAGCAGUGGGGAAUAUUGGGCAAUGGGCGCAAGCCUGACCCAGCAACGCCGCGUGAAGGAAGAAGGCUUUCGGGUUGUAAACUUCUUUUCUCAGGGACGAAGCAAGUGACGGUACCUGAGGAAUAAGCCACGGCUAACUACGUGCCAGCAGCCGCGGUAAUACGUAGGGGGCGAGCGUUAUCCGGAUUCACUGGGUGUAAAGGGAGCGUAGACGGCCAUGCAAGCCAGGGGUGAAAGCCCGGGGCCCAACCCCGGGACUGCCCUUGGAACUGCAUGGCUGGAGUGCGGGAGGGGCAGGCGGAAUUCCUGGUGUAGCGGUGAAAUGCGUAGAUAUCAGGAGGAACACCGGCGGCGAAGGCGGCCUGCUGGACAGUAACUGACGUUGAGGCGCGAAAGCGUGGGGAGCAAACAGGAUUAGAUACCCUAGUA
RNAcentral lists this ribosomal RNA (448 nucleotides) under uncultured bacterium. RNAcentral describes it as "bacterial SSU rRNA". It matches the Rfam family "Bacterial small subunit ribosomal RNA", at positions 330 to 792 of the family's 1533-position model. The record is from RNAcentral.